AACGAACGCUGGCGGCAUGCCUAACACAUGCAAGUCGAACGAGACCUUCGGGUCUAGUGGCGCACGGGUGCGUAACGCGUGGGAACCUGCCCUUAGGUUCGGAAUAACUCCCCGAAAGGGGUGCUAAUACCGGAUAAUGUCUUCGGACCAAAGAUUUAUCGCCUUUGGAUGGGCCCGCGUUGGUUUAGCUAGUUGGUAGGGUAAAAGCCUACCAAGGCGACGAUCCAUAGCUGGUCUGAGAGGAUGAUCAGCCACACUGGGACUGAGACACGGCCCAGACUCCUACGGGAGGCAGCAGUGGGGAAUAUUGGACAAUGGGCGGAAGCCUGAUCCAGCAAUGCCGCGUGAGUGAUGAAGGCCUUAGGGUUGUAAAGCUCUUUUACCCGGGAUGAUAAUGACAGUACCGGGAGAAUAAGCUCCGGCUAACUCCGUG
RNAcentral lists this ribosomal RNA (433 nucleotides) under uncultured bacterium. Its description in RNAcentral is "partial 16S ribosomal RNA". It matches the Rfam family "Bacterial small subunit ribosomal RNA", at positions 29 to 507 of the family's 1533-position model. The record is from RNAcentral.